This 432-nucleotide unclassified non-coding RNA is filed under the name soil metagenome. RNAcentral's name for it is "partial contains 5.8S ribosomal RNA, internal transcribed spacer 2, and large subunit ribosomal RNA". The stretch from base 1 to 120 matches the Rfam family "5.8S ribosomal RNA", at positions 35 to 154 of the family's 154-position model. The record is from RNAcentral.
GAUGAAGAACGUAGCGAAAUGCGAUACGUAAUGUGAAUUGCAGAAUUCAGUGAAUCAUCGAAUCUUUGAACGCAUAUUGCGCUCUCUGGUAUUCCGGAGAGCAUGCUUGUUUGAGUAUCAGUAAACACCUCAACUUCCAUAUCUUUUUUGAAAUGGGAGUUGGACUUGAGUGAUCCCAACGCUUUUCCUCACCGAAAAGUGGCGGGUUACUUGAAAUGCAGGUGCAGCUGGACUUUUCUCUGAGCUAUAAGCAUAUCUAUUUAGUCUGCCUAAAAAACAGAUUAUUACCUUUGCUGCAGCUAACAUAAAGGAGAUUAGUUCUUGUGCUGACUGAUGCAGGAUUCUCAAAGACGGCUUCGGCCGACUUUGUAAACUCGAUCUCAAAUCAAGUAAGACUACCCGCUGAACUUAAGCAUAUCAAUAAGCGGAGGA